UAGGCGGAUCGGCAGGCGUCUUGUGAAAGCCCCCGGCUCAACCGGGGAACAGCAGGGCGAACCGCCGGUCUCGAGGUUGGUAGGGGUCGCUGGAACGCUCGGUGGAGCGGUGAAAUGCGUAGAUAUCGAGCGGAACGCCGGAGGUGAAGACGGGCGACUGGGCCAAUCCUGACGCUGAGGCACGAAAGCGUGGGGAUCAAACAGGAUUAGAUACCCUGGUAGUCCACGCUGUAAACGAUGCGCACUUGAUCGGUGCGGGUUUGACCCCGUGUCGGUCGCAGAGAAAUCGCUAAGUGCGCCGCCUGGGAAGUACGGUCGCAAGGCUAAAACUCAAAGGAAUUGACGGGGGCUCACACAAGCGGUGGAGCAUGUUGCUUAAUUCGAUGCAACGCGAAGAACCUUACCCGGGUUUGACAUGUACGGAUUAGUUCCUGGAAACAGGAAUGACGCCCGCAAGGGUGGAACGUACACAGGUGCUGCAUGGCUGUCGUCAGCUCGUGCUGUGAAGUGUCGGGUUAAGUCCUCUAACGAGCGCAACCCCUGUCGCUAGUUGCCAGCGCGUCAUGGCGGGGACUCUAGCGAGACUGCCGGUGUCAAACCGGAGGAAGGUGGGGAUGACGUCAAGUCCUCAUGGCCUUUAUAUCCGGGGAUGCAAACGUGCUACAAUGGCGCGCACAAAGCGACGCAAGGCCGCAAGGCGGAGCAAAUCGCAAAAAACGCGCCCCAGUUCGGAUUGCAGGCUGCAACUCGCCUGCAUGAAGCCGGAAUCGCUAGUAAUCGGGGAUCA
Molecule: ribosomal RNA, 787 nt
Filed under: uncultured Planctomycetota bacterium
Lineage: Bacteria; Pseudomonadati; Planctomycetota
Description: bacterial SSU rRNA
Rfam family: Bacterial small subunit ribosomal RNA
Source: RNAcentral